UCUUUGAACAUAUUUUCUGAAAUAAACAACUGUAUUUUUUACCAAGGACAAUUUCGUCAAUUUACUUUUUAAAAAAGUUGGGAAUAACGAUAGUUGCGAAAAUGGGCUGGAAUAACGAAGGUCCCGUUAUUUUAUGGGCCUGGCCCGGAACAUUGUCCACCUUCCCAAAAACCCACUCUUCUCACCCUCAACUUUCUUCAACGUCCACUCUCUCUUCACUUUAAUUCUCUUCCAUUCCACUCCCCAAUGGCACCACCAAUAACCGACUCGGAACCAGAAUCCGAAGCGCUGCGCCUCAAGGCCAUGGCGGAGUCCAAGUUCAAAGCCUCCAACAACGCCAAAUCUGCUCUCAAAUACGCGAAGCGUGCGCAGCGUCUGUGCCCGCACCUCGACGGCGUGUCGGAGGCCGUCACUUCGCUCACUGUCCUCGCCGCGUCGGACUGGUAUAGUGCGCUCGGUACUGAGCCCUUUGCAAACAGCAGCGUCAUUCGGAGACAGUACAAGAAACUCGCACUGCUCCUCCAUCCCGACAAGAACCCCAACGUGGCGUCCGAGGAGGCCUUCAAGCUCGUCGGCGAGGCCUUCCACUUCCUUUCCGACCGGAGUCGCCGCCGAGAGUACGAUGCCGAGCUCCGACAGAAGAUCAAGGCGGAGAGCGAGACGUUCUGGACCGCCUGCUCCACUUGCAGGCUCCUUCACCAGUUCCAGAGAAAGUAUAUGGGUCAAGAAUUGGUGUGUCCGAGUUGUGAGAAGAGUUUUAAGGCUGUGGAAACGGUUCAGAGUGAUGGGGAUGGUGAUGGGGAAGGUAGGGUUAGGAGUAUGAGGUUGAAGUUGAAAGAGAUAAAUAAGAAGGAGAAAAUUGGUGUGAAAGGAAAAGUGGAUAGUGAAGUGGGGGAUGAGAAGGAAGGGAAAUUGAGGAAGAGAAUGCGUUCAGUCGGGGAGGUGUUGGAGAGGUCCAAACCUAGUAAAAGGGUUAAAAAUGGGGAGGAAAUGAUGACAUUAGCUGAAUUUCAGACUGAGGUGAGGAGAAAGUUGCAGGAAAAAAAGUUGAAGGAAAAAGAAAAGGAAAAGGAGGAUGAUAGAAUUGAGAAGAGGAGCAACCGGGGGGAGAGGCGGCGGACAUUGAAAAACUCUGAAGGUUUAGAGGUUGGAGAGGGGAGGGCUUUGAAGAAGAGUGUGAGGCUUGGGAUUGAGGAGAGUCUUGUGGGUUUAUCGAAGAGAAAGGGGUUGAGAUCUGCGAGGCAUAGGGAUUCUGAUAAAGGGGAGUCGGAAAACAUGGCGGUGGUGGAUUCAGAUUUUUAUGAUUUUGACAAAGAUAGAGUGGAGAAGAGUUUUAAGAAAGGUCAAGUGUGGGCAGUGUAUGACGAUGAUGAUGGAAUGCCAAGGAAUUAUGCCCUGAUUGAUGAAACUCUUUCACUGAAUCCUUUUGAAGUGAGAUUAAGUUGGUUAGAUGUACAGAUCAGUGGGGAUGGGAGGAUAGUUAGUAGGGAGAGAAUGGGGUUUCAUACACCUUGUGGGAGAUUUAAGGUUGCCAGGAAGACUUCGGUGAAUUCGGUAAAUAUAUUUUCCCAUGUUGUGGAUUGUGACCGGGCAGCACGUGAACUUUACAAAAUUUACCCCAAGAAAGGCUCGGUAUGGGCGCUGCAUGGCGAGGGAAGUAUUGAUGCAGAGGACCGCAAGAGAUGCUAUGACAUUGUUGUAUGUCUGACAAGUUACAAUGAGUCAAAUGGUCUGAGCAUGGCGUAUCUUGAGAAGGUCGAUGGUUACAAGACAGUAUUUAGGCGGCAAAAGAAGGGGAGUGGUGCUAUUAUAUUUCUUGGGAAGGAUGACAUGUGCUUAGUUUCUCAUCAAAUUCCAGCACGGAAGCUUAUUUGUGAUGAAACUCCUGAACUGUUGAAAGACUGUUGGGAACUUGAUCCCGCAUCACUUCCUUCAGAUUUACUUACUAUUGGUGGCAUUGAUAAUUGAGAUUAAAGAUAUAUUCUACUGGAUUAACCUGUUUGUCAGCCAGCACUAUAAACUUGUUACAUGGCAUAGUCGUGCUAAAGCAUUAUUCGGCCUCCUCCACUGAUUGGGGUCUAUGUUUUUUUCCCAUACUUAAGAGGUGAUGUUUGCAAAUGGAUGUUGUGUGUACAAAGUAUUUCAGUUAAUGUCCCUUUCAAGCUUAAGGCAGAAAAAGAGGUAGAGUAUUAUGUAAUUGAACUGCAAUCCUCUUAAUUGUGGUAAAUUGAGUUACGAUUAAAUAUUGCUUAAGGAAUUAAGUCAUCAUGGGUAGCCACUGAUCUGCAUUCUAAUCUAUAUCUGGUCACUUCUGUACUUUGUCAUGACUGUUGUAUUUGGUUUUAAUGCACAAUCAAAUUAUAUUACCUUUUCAUUACCUGCAUAGAUUAUCAUUUAUGGGUGUUAAAUAACUAGCGCGGCUACCAAUUCAUGUUUGUAAAUUUUGGUAUUACUAAAUCUAUUAAAUGUUUAAGGCUCCUUAGCUUGGCCAGGAGGAAAUGUUGCCUAAACUUUAAUCUGUGUAUUCUGGGUUCCCGGCCAACAGAACAGUUCUUAAAAAUAAGAGUCAUUGUUUCUGGAAACAUUAACAGUGAUUCCUCUAGUCUAGUGUCUAUUCUAUGCACCAUAUUUUUUAGUAGUGUUUCAUCUUGAGCUUCUGCAGUUAUCUUUAAGGUAAUUCAGGUAUUUGCUUUCCUGUUUAUCGUCAAGGAUAACAAGCUGGUAGUAAAUAUGUCAUGCAUAUAAGUGUGACGCCAGUUGGAUUGUCAGACAUAUAUACAAAAAGAUGUCUAGCUAGCAGAAAAUAAUUACCAUUAGAGUGCUCUGUACAGCAAUGUAAAUUCUGUAAUUGCAGGAGUCCUUAAAUUCAUUUUGUCAUGUUUCGUCAGGUAUCUGUGUAGAAUGUUUGUUUCUUUGCAAGGCCAUUACUCAAGUUCAAUACAACUGUCUUGUAUAAACUCUAAAACUCAGCUAACUAAAGCAGAUAUCUUAUUAUUUAACUCUAAGAAAGCAGUUGGCUUUUUAGUGGAUCUGUGAUUGUUUUUUUGCUUUGCUUGCACAUUAAUUAUUUUCAUUGGAAGUAUGACUGAUAUAAAUUUCAAAACUCGGGCUCAUUACUUAUUUACAUCAAUAUUGAGGCUCGGUUCUUCAGUUUUAAGCUUGCACAAUGUUGAGACAAGGGAAAUAAAAUCAACAUAUUCUUUUUGUAAGGUCUAUUUCUUUUGCUUUGUGCUUUUCUGUCAUGACCUUGGCAUGUAACAUGAUAUAUAUGAUUUUUUAUCCGUAAAGAACAUCUUCCGUCAAUGCAGUGCAUUGAAACACAAGUGUACUAGAAAGGUACUAAGCUUUUUGGAAAUGAUGUUAGAAGAGAACGUGAAAUACAUGAGUAACUCUUUUUGGUUGGACGGUAGCUUGAGCUUAAGAUUUUAAGAUCUGUGAAAGGACAGUAUCCAAUCAAGAGAAAUGAAAGCAGCAUCCCUUUUAAAACAUUUUUUUAAGACAUUUAUUAUUCAUUGAAAUUUAUAAUCAUAAAAUUCUUAUUUAAUGAAUUCCGGUAUUAAUUUCUAAGAUUUAUGCAUUCCCUGUUUCUUAAUCUAUAUUGCUGGACUAUCUGAACUUUUAGUGUCAACUUAGU
This is an RNA transcript of Vigna radiata var. radiata (mung bean), 3634 nucleotides long. RefSeq lists it as uncharacterized. The transcript is spliced from 3 exons. The record is from RefSeq and is a predicted model, not a curated record. Lineage: Eukaryota; Viridiplantae; Streptophyta; Magnoliopsida; Fabales; Fabaceae.